This 253-nucleotide ribosomal RNA is filed under the name uncultured bacterium. RNAcentral describes it as "partial 16S ribosomal RNA". It matches the Rfam family "Bacterial small subunit ribosomal RNA", at positions 524 to 776 of the family's 1533-position model. The record is from RNAcentral.
UACGGGGGGGGCGAGCUUUGUUCGGAAUUACUGGGCGUAAAGGGUUUGUAGGUGGUCUGCUAAGUCAGACGUGAAAUCCCUCAGCUUAACUCCGAAACUGCAUUCGAUACUGCCGUGCUUGAGGACUGGAGAGGAGACUGGAAUUUACGGUGUAGCGGUGAAAUGCGUAGAUAUCGUAAGGAAGACCAGUGGCGAAGGCGGGUCUCUGGACAGUUCCUGACGCUGAGGUGCGAAAGCGUGGGGAGCAAACAGG